AUUGAACGCUGGCGGCAGGCCUAACACAUGCAAGUCGAGCGGAUGAAGGGAGCUUGCUCCUGGAUUCAGCGGCGGACGGGUGAGUAAUGCCUAGGAAUCUGCCUGGUAGUGGGGGAUAACGUCCGGAAACGGGCGCUAAUACCGCAUACGUCCUGAGGGAGAAAGUGGGGGAUCUUCGGACCUCACGCUAUCAGAUGAGCCUAGGUCGGAUUAGCUAGUUGGUGGGGUAAAGGCCUACCAAGGCGACGAUCCGUAACUGGUCUGAGAGGAUGAUCAGUCACACUGGAACUGAAACACGGUCCAGACUCCUACGGGAGGCAGCAGUGGGGAAUAUUGGACAAUGGGCGAAAGCCUGAUCCAGCCAUGCCGCGUGUGUGAAGAAGGUCUUCGGAUUGUAAAGCACUUUAAGUUGGGAGGAAGGGCAGUAAGUUAAUACCUUGCUGUUUUGACGUCACCAACAGAAUAAGCACCGGCUAACUUCGUG
RNAcentral lists this ribosomal RNA (484 nucleotides) under uncultured bacterium. Its description in RNAcentral is "partial 16S ribosomal RNA". It matches the Rfam family "Bacterial small subunit ribosomal RNA", at positions 30 to 507 of the family's 1533-position model. The record is from RNAcentral.